GCCUCUUUAGCUCAGUGGUUAGAGCACUGGUCUAGUAAACCAGUGGUCGUGAGUUCUAUUCUCACAGGAGGUA
RNAcentral lists this transfer RNA (73 nucleotides) under Blattella germanica (German cockroach). Its description in RNAcentral is "tRNA-Thr (AGT) (tRNA-Thr-AGT-16-1)". It matches the Rfam family "tRNA". From Rfam's summary of the family: Transfer RNA (tRNA) molecules are approximately 80 nucleotides in length. Their secondary structure includes four short double-helical elements and three loops (D, anti-codon, and T loops). Further hydrogen bonds mediate the characteristic L-shaped molecular structure. tRNAs have two regions of fundamental functional importance: the anti-codon, which is responsible for specific mRNA codon recognition, and the 3' end, to which the tRNAs corresponding amino acid is attached (by aminoacyl-tRNA synthetases). tRNAs cope with the degeneracy of the genetic code in two manners: having more than one tRNA (with a specific anti-codon) for a particular amino acid; and 'wobble' base-pairing, i.e. permitting non-standard base-pairing at the 3rd anti-codon position. The record is from RNAcentral. Lineage: Eukaryota; Metazoa; Arthropoda; Insecta; Blattodea; Blattellidae.